This 21-nucleotide non-coding RNA is filed under the name Arabidopsis thaliana (thale cress). Lineage: Eukaryota; Viridiplantae; Streptophyta; Magnoliopsida; Brassicales; Brassicaceae. The record is from RNAcentral.
UUAAGGUACACAUAAAACGCG